AAAAGCGAAACCCUAACAAUAGGAAGAACGAAAAUGAAUAGGUGAUAGAAAUUAGAAAGCGGCGGAGUCCGGUUGAGAUAUUAUCAAUCAUACCUUGUUCUGCUAUGGAAUCUUUGUGUGCAAACUAUGCUUCUUCAGAUGAAGAGGAACAAGUAACGCUUCCUCCCCCAAAAUCAACUUCUUCUUUCCUUUCACUUCCCGCACCAAAAUCCCAUGAUCAACAACUGCGCCCACCUAAUGUUGGAAUUACCACAUCUUCUUCUUCUUCCCUUUUCUCUGUCCUUCCACCUCCAAAGACCACCAUGGAAGAUCCUCCACUCCUCAAUUCCUCAGAUCCUAAACCCAAAAGGGUUGUUCAAUUUAAGCCUCCUGUCAACCCUUUUUCUCUCAAGUCUUAUAGUCUGGAUGAAGAUGAUGAAGAUGAGGAUGAAAAGGAAAAACAAAGAAAAAGGUCUCGGUCUUUUGCUCAAACAUCUUCAGUUAAAUCAUUUUUGUCCACUAUUCCUGCUCCAAAGAACUCUAACACUUUGGGUGUUUUGGGUUCCGGCUCCGGAAGAAGAUCCACCAUCCAAGCAGAUGUCCCUGUUCCUGAUCCAGUUAGUUCGAAUGAAGUUCUAGUUAAUUCCAAUACAGAUUACAGUGAGAGCCAGCAGAUUGAUGGGUCGUUUCAGAGUGUAAUGGGAGGUUUUGAUGGUCCCUCACAACAUAAUGCUGAUUGGAAUGCACAGGGUUAUGUAAACCAAGAAGUGUAUGCUGGAUAUGAUAAUGAUGGGGCUAGUGAACAUUCUCCUGCGGCUCCACCAAAUGUGAAUUAUGUUGAGUAUGACAGUAAUUAUGGCGCUUACACUGGUUACGAACAGUAUGGUCAUAAUUGGACUGAUGGGUCUAGUGCAACAGAAGCAUCAACAAUUACUGAUACGGCUGAAGUUGUAUUUAGAUUGCCUGGGAAGAGAGGCAGGAGUGACGCUCCACAGAAUAUUGUUGAGGUGAACCAGGAUGAGUUGAUGAAGAAUGGGCCAAGGGAAGACCAAAGCAGGCUCACUGGGAUUGCCUUUGGGCCAUCUUACCAGCCUGUUUCGAGCAAGGGAAAGCCUUCUAAGCUGCUCAAAAGAAAGCAUCAAAUUAGUACUUUAUACUUCGAUAUGAAACAAAAAGAAAUGGAGCUGUCAGAGCGACGGGCCAAGGGGAUGCAGACAAAAGCUCAAACACAGGGAAAGUAUGGUUGGUGACAGUUUUAUGGUUUUCGAGGACAUAUGGUGAAUGAGCAACUUUUCUUUGUUUGGUAAAUCAAAUUUUAAAUGUUGUUGAUAGUGGCUGGCUUUGAAAGCAUUGUAGUGCAAUAUUUGUGCAAUUUCCUGGUAAUAAGUAGUGAGAAUACUGAUGGUUCCUUGUAAUGAUA
RNAcentral lists this unclassified non-coding RNA (1399 nucleotides) under Hevea brasiliensis (rubber tree). The record is from RNAcentral. Lineage: Eukaryota; Viridiplantae; Streptophyta; Magnoliopsida; Malpighiales; Euphorbiaceae.